Molecule: long non-coding RNA, 2494 nt
Organism: Carassius auratus (goldfish)
Lineage: Eukaryota; Metazoa; Chordata; Actinopteri; Cypriniformes; Cyprinidae
Exons: 2
Source: RefSeq, a predicted model, not a curated record
ACCCCUAGUGGUAGGUGGGUGAAUGAGCAGAAAAUGCACACCACAACUCAAUGGUAAAUAAAUAAUGGCAUACAUGAAUAGAAAAACAGAGUUUGACACCUACAGCGGUGCUUUAUUGCUCCGUUUCACUCAAUCAUCCUCUUUUUUUUUUUUUUUUUUGCAUUCCAACCCCUUUUGCUUUACCUGAGAAAAUAACACAAAGGAGAUCACUGUCUCUGUCUUAGUCAUUGUGUUCAUAUUCCAAAGAUAAUUAUCAAUGCAAACAUAUAAUUAGUCUUUCAAAUACGGGCUUCAAAAUUAAACGCCUGUGAACUAAAAGCAACCUGACAAAUCUUAAUCUGGGCAAACUGAGAAAAACAAUGCAUUGUAUUCUGCGCUGUUCUCAUUAAGAUGACAGACAUCUCGGUUCACCUGGAGAGUGCGGUGUUAAUUUUGCUCACUCACACCCUUCAUCCCAUUGAUCUUUCUUCAUCAGUUAAGCCAGUAACACAGACUCAUUAGGAAUGUUUAAAACACUGAAGUUAAGGCUAAUUAAAGGCUCACAGUUUAACUAUCUGCAGAUGUUUUGGGUGAGUUAAGACUCAAAGAAGAAAAAAUGAUUUUAAAGAAUGAACAGGAGGGUUUUGUUAAGAACAGGAACGGGAAAGGUUUUUGCAUAAAUUGUGCACUGACCUUUAGCGAGCACUGGCGUCUCAUGCAUAGUCAAGCACUGAGAUUUUACCCUUGUUAACUACACUAAAAUUAAAGACCUCACGCAUGUAACACACACACACACAGACACAUUCACAAACUUAAGGUCUCCCCCUCAAAGAAUGACUGUGACUACAUAAGGGAAGGAAACCUUUAAUAAAAAAAGCUUUGUGUGAGCUGCCUACAAAAUCAACAUUUUACCACAUGUUGUUCAAAGUCUAUGUUGCCCUCUAAGAUACCAGCUCUUUGUACAAAUUGGCACCAAAUCAGCAUAUUCAAAUGAUUUCUGAAGGAUCAUGUGACACUGAAGACUAAUUAAAUUAAGAUUUGCAGUUUUAAACUCAAACGAAUCAGCUGUGAAGCUCAUUCAUCCAUCCAUUAAUUGAUGUCCACCUAAGAUUAACAGCCAGUACACAAUACUGUUAAUACGAUUUCUAGGUAGGUAAAGUUUAGCAAAACUACUUACUACUUCAGUUGAUCUACAGUAUACUCUAUAUUCUAUUCUGAGAAAAAUAGAAUGGCAAACAUGUCAAAUAAAAGAGCCUGUGAAAUGCACAUGCAGUCUGCGGAGAUUCAUGGGCAGAGAAAGAAAAUAAUUUGAGGGAAAUAUCCGUUGCACUUCACGUAUACAGAGUUUUUAUGAUGCCCAUUUUGCUGCUUACUUAGUGUUCCAAAUCGGUCACUUAUGAGAUCGCAUAUCAGUUAGUAUGUUGCUCUAGAGUAGGACAAGAGCAGAAAGAGAGAGACAGAGGAGUUGCACAGGAGGACAAGGCUCUCUCCAUUUCAGUGGCAAAAUUCAAGCUGAAUCUUAUCUCUGAAAGAGUUGAAAAAGAUAAAAAAUAAAAGAUAAAAAGAUAAAACAUGUUUGCGUGGUUAAUAAUUAAUUGCGUAUGGCAUAUUUCAUCUUUAAUGUGCAUCACUGGGGGCUGACUUCACCCACACACCCCCAGAGGCAUAACAGGAAGGACACAGAAAUGACAGUGUGUGUGUGUGUGUGUGUGUGUUAUUAAACAUUAACUUUUUGAGUUUAUAACUAGGAUACAUAAAAGCAACAGAAGAACAGUCAUAGGGAAAGGACUUCAUUGAAACAACUCCCAGUACUUCGGUACCAACUUGGUACUAAAAAAGGAAAAUGUUACGUUUCCAAUUACCCGGUCAACCCGGUUCUUGAUGGACUAGCCGAAAAGUGCGCAGAUGUGCUCUCUUCAUAAAAGCAGUGAGAUGUGUCGAUAUCAAAAUGAGGAAACAUCAAACUAACAAAACACUAUGAAAGACAGAAACCAAGAUCAAAUGAAAGAGUUCAAGCAGAUGCAGGGAACCGCUGCUCUCACCUCAUCUUUACAUGGCUUACUCUUGAGCUAGCGAAUUAUGAACACUGGAUCUACCAAGCUGAUGCGUAUGGACCCUUCUUUUGAGUCGUAGGUAAGAUUCGGCUCAAUGCUCAGUCAGCAGGCAUAUAUUACUCCACGUGACACGAGUUGCUGCUGACCUUAUUUCAGAGUAGUGACAUAUCUCCAGUUUAAACCGAAUAUUAAUUAGCAGGCAUGGUUUGUUUGCACUCCUGGUCUCCGUCUCAAGGCGCGGUCACACUAGACUUUAAACAUGCGAAAUUAUUUCGAACGCCACUGCGAAUAUGGGCGGGAGCAAGAUAAAACAGUCUCCCCUCAAUUUUCACAAGAUGGAUUAUUAUGUUCUAGCACUGUGUCUUUUGCAACGGCGUCGAAAGCGUUUUAUAUUGUAACGUUACUCUGUAUCUCUCUAUAAAUAUAUACACCCUAAGGGGAGAAGGGGGAGAAGAAAGCGA